CGGUACACUCUCUCUCUCUCUCUCUCCUGAAAUCACUUUGAUCUUAUUCUCUGGUCACUCUCACCUCUGUUUUAGUGAGAACUGAGUGAGUAUCUCUCAACCUCCGUGUUGAUUUGGAGAUUUCGCUUGGGUUUCGAAUGGACUUUGGUGGUGUUUGCGAGGUGAUUUGUUGGUUCGUUACAAAGAUAGCCGAGGCAAAGCAGCAAUUAGAGGUUCCCUAAGGUUUGGGGUUCGAUUGGUCUCGCUGUGCUCCCUUGUGAUUUGUUGUUGAAGAUAGAGGAGGUCACUGGCCCUGUGAAGUUGCGUGUGCAACCUGAGCUACAUCCUAUAUCUUCUAACUCUAUUUCCUGAGGUUACUUGUUCAGAUCCACUUGGAUCUGAUUUCACAGUGUUACUGACGUUUUACUUAGUGUGCAGGAAGACUACAAGGGAUGCUUGGUUGAGAGUCAGACCCGGAGGAGGCUGUGACUAGUGCUAGGGUUUAGCUUGUAUAGAUAUCUUGUAUAUUGUUCUUCUUCUUUGAUUGUAUUUAGUCUGUGUCUUGGGAGAUUGACCAUCUCCGACUUGCGGUGUAAUCAAAGAUGUCUCAAUAAUUAGUGAAUCUCAAAUGCUCUGAUCCCUACAAAUAUAUUUGGUAAAUUAACAUGUUGUUUA
This is a long non-coding RNA of Salvia splendens (bonfire salvia), 654 nucleotides long. RefSeq lists it as uncharacterized. Lineage: Eukaryota; Viridiplantae; Streptophyta; Magnoliopsida; Lamiales; Lamiaceae. The record is from RefSeq and is a predicted model, not a curated record. The transcript is spliced from 2 exons.